RNAcentral lists this transfer RNA (74 nucleotides) under Eubacterium segne. Its description in RNAcentral is "tRNA-Lys". It matches the Rfam family "tRNA". From Rfam's summary of the family: Transfer RNA (tRNA) molecules are approximately 80 nucleotides in length. Their secondary structure includes four short double-helical elements and three loops (D, anti-codon, and T loops). The record is from RNAcentral. Lineage: Bacteria; Bacillati; Bacillota; Clostridia; Eubacteriales; Eubacteriaceae.
GGGUAUGUAGUUCAGUUGGUUAGAACAACCGGCUUUUAACCGGUAGAUCAGGGGUUCGAGUCCCUUUAUGCCCA